RNAcentral lists this ribosomal RNA (253 nucleotides) under uncultured bacterium. RNAcentral describes it as "partial 16S ribosomal RNA". It matches the Rfam family "Bacterial small subunit ribosomal RNA", at positions 524 to 776 of the family's 1533-position model. The record is from RNAcentral.
CACGUAGGGUGCGAGCGUUGUCCGGAGUUACUGGGCGUAAAGCGCGCGCAGGCGGCCCGGCAAGCAUGGCGUGAAAGCCCCCGGCUCAACCGGGGAGGGUCGUCGUGGACUGCCGGGCUUGAGGGCGGUAGGGGUUGGUGGAAUGCCCGGUGUAGUGGUGAAAUGCGUAGAGAUCGGGCGGAACACCCGUGGCGAAGGCGGCCAACUGGGCCGACCCUGACGCUGAGGCGCGAAGGCGUGGGGAGCGAACGGG